GGGGGCGUUCCGGAUUCGACAGGGGUAGGUUGAGUUUAAGUCGCAUGUCGAGGUUACGGCUCGUAAAACGUUACACGCCUAUAAUUGGCAAACAAGAUAAUUACGCUUUAGCAGCUGCAUAAGCUGAUCUAAAGGACUCCGUUUGUUAUCGCCCGUGUAAUAAAUUGGAGUCUCACUAACAGCGGGAUAAACAUUCAUCCUCCGUCUGCGGAUAGAGUGUUGAAACCAACCAGACUAGCGUCUAUAAAGCCUGUCAAUGGGCUGAGUAUUCUGCGAAAUAUAAUUUAUUGACUACACAUGUAGAAGCUUAAAUGGCAAUACCUUUGGACGUGGGUUCAAAUCCCACCGCCUCCAU
This 355-nucleotide transfer-messenger RNA is filed under the name pig gut metagenome. It matches the Rfam family "transfer-messenger RNA". From Rfam's summary of the family: Bacterial tmRNA, also known as 10Sa RNA or SsrA, is named for its dual tRNA and mRNA-like properties. The record is from RNAcentral.